CCUACGGGAGGCAGCAGUGAGGAAUAUUGGUCAAUGGGCGCGAGCCUGAACCAGCCACGUAGCGUGAAGGAUGACUGCCCUACGGGUUGUAAACUUCUUUUAUAAAGGAAUAAAAUGAGGCACGUGUGCCUUUUUGUAUGUACUUUAUGAAUAAGGAUCGGCUAACUCCGUGCCAGCAGCCGCGGUAAUACGGAGGAUCCGAGCGUUAUACGGAAUUCUGGGGUUUAAAGGGAGCGUAGAUGGGUUGUUAAGUCAGUUGUGAAAGUUUGCGGCUCAACCGUAAAAUUGCAAUUGAUACUGGUAGUCUUGAGUACAGUUGAGGUAGGCGGAAUUCGUGGUGUAGCGGUGAAAUGCGUAGAUAUUACGAAGAACUCCGAUUGCGAAGGCAGCUUACUAAGCUGCAACUGACAUUGAUGCUCGAAAGUGUGGGUAUCAAACAGGAUUAGAUACCCUGGUAGUC
This 460-nucleotide ribosomal RNA is filed under the name uncultured bacterium. Its description in RNAcentral is "partial 16S ribosomal RNA". It matches the Rfam family "Bacterial small subunit ribosomal RNA", at positions 338 to 795 of the family's 1533-position model. The record is from RNAcentral.